UGCAGUCGAGCGGAGAGAGGUAGCUUGCUACUGAUCUUAGCGGCGGACGGGUGAGUAAUGCUUAGGAAUCUGCCUAUUAGUGGGGGACAACAUUUCGAAAGGAAUGCUAAUACCGCAUACGUCCUACGGGAGAAAGCAGGGGAUCUUCGGACCUUGCGCUAAUAGAUGAGCCUAAGUCGGAUUAGCUAGUUGGUGGGGUAAAGGCCUACCAAGGCGACGAUCUGUAGCGGGUCUGAGAGGAUGAUCCGCCACACUGGGACUGAGACACGGCCCAGACUCCUACGGGAGGCAGCAGUGGGGAAUAUUGGACAAUGGGCGCAAGCCUGAUCCAGCCAUGCCGCGUGUGUGAAGAAGGCCUUAUGGUUGUAAAGCACUUUAAGCGAGGAGGAGGCUACUUUAGUUAAUACCUAGAGAUAGUGGACGUUACUCGCAGAAUAAGCACCGGCUAACUCUGUGCCAGCAGCCGCGGUAAUACAGAGGGUGCAAGCGUUAAUCGGAUUUACUGGGCGUAAAGCGCGCGUAGGCGGCUAAUUAAGUCAAAUGUGAAAUCCCCGAGCUUAACUUGGGAAUUGCAUUCGAUACUGGUUAGCUAGAGUGUGGGAGAGGAUGGUAGAAUUC
This 618-nucleotide ribosomal RNA is filed under the name bacterium 34-L049616-122-011-B05. Its description in RNAcentral is "bacterial SSU rRNA". It matches the Rfam family "Bacterial small subunit ribosomal RNA", at positions 56 to 669 of the family's 1533-position model. The record is from RNAcentral.